CCUCCUUCAUAAGCCUCGAGGCACUGCAUCCAACAGGCUCCUCUCUCUCUCUCCUUCAGCAACACCGUACCAACAGCACUGCAUGGCAAAAGGGAGAGUCUCCUGAACGUGUGCUGCAAGAGCGUCUUCUUUCUGCCUCCGGAGUCGGACAUGCCAGAGACAGAAAGAGCGCUCUACGCCAAGGUAUGUGCUGGGUGAGGUACCGGCACCCCCAGUCCUGCUGAGCUGCUGCCUUGCUUCCCCGUGCUGACACAACCAGAGACCAGUGCAGGGCCGGGGCCCAGAUUUGCUUUCCCAGCCUCACCCUUUCCCCUUCCCGGGCAUGAUCCCGUGCUGUAGGAUGUCUGCACGCAGCGGCUUUUUAGCCCCAAAGCCACCCCUGAACUCCAGAGGGGCUCAGAGCCAGCUCCUGAGGGUGAGGAGGGCCACAGAAAUAAUUCGAUGCUCUUCUGUCCUCCCUGCAGACUAUGGAUGCCUUGGACACCAUGCUGGAGGGCUUCGUACUCAGCUGUCCCAUCACCAGUUUCAACACAGAGAUGCAGAAUAUGUUGAAGGUGAUGCUGGACUUUGCUGGCUCCAAAAACUCAACUGUGCGCGAGAGAGCUGUGAGGAGGAUUGAGAGGCUGAUUACUUUCAUCCGCUGGUAUUUGGUGACCAAGGUAAGGCACAAGGAACCCUCCACCCUUUCCUGCAUCCCAGAGCAUCCUGCCAUGCAAGGGUGCCUGUGAGGCAAGCCUCGAUGUACGUG
Molecule: long non-coding RNA, 748 nt
Filed under: Anas platyrhynchos platyrhynchos (common mallard)
Lineage: Eukaryota; Metazoa; Chordata; Aves; Anseriformes; Anatidae
Description: lncRNA (ENSAPLG00000023689.1)
Source: RNAcentral